Molecule: long non-coding RNA, 13074 nt
Filed under: Vitis vinifera (wine grape)
Lineage: Eukaryota; Viridiplantae; Streptophyta; Magnoliopsida; Vitales; Vitaceae
Description: long non-coding RNA (VVIN_LNC003682)
Source: RNAcentral
UCCACCCCAAAAGGAGUCAGUGCGUGUACCGUCUCAUGCGCAUUCUUGUUCAUUCUGGCUUCCUUGCUGCGCAAAGAGUCCAACAAGGUGAGCAAGAAGAGGGGUAUGUGCUUACAGAUGCCUCUAGGCUCCUUCUAAUGGAUGACUCCUUGAGCAUAAGGCCCUUCUUGCUUGCCAUGCUCGACCCAGUUUUAACUAAACCAUGGCAUUAUCUGAGUGCUUGGUUUCAAAAUGAUGAUCCCACUCCGUUCCACACUGCUCAUGAGCAGCCAUUUUGGGAUUAUGCCGGCCAUGAACCUCAGCUCAACAAUUUCUUCAAUGAAGCCAUGGCUAGCGAUUCUCGCUUAGUCAUCAGCGUGCUGCUUAAGGAGGGCAAGGGAUUAUUUGAGGGGUUGAACUCAUUGGUUGAUGUAGGGGGUGGCACCGGAAAAGUGGCCAAGGCCAUUGCUAACGCUUUCCCACAUUUGAACUGCACCGUGUUAGAUCUCCCCCACGUGGUUGCUGGCUUGCAAGAGAGCAAGAACUUGAACUACUUUGCAGGUGAUAUGUUUGAGGCAAUUCCUCCUGCAGAUGCAAUUUUACUCAAGGUAUACCCCAAUUUUCUCUUGUCAGUUACAUAACGUUGUCUGGAUCACAAAGAAUAAGAAAGAUUUUUUUAAAAUGUUAAAAAAAAAUCAUUCUACGUUGUCAGUCAGUCCGGGUUCAAAUAUGCUACAAGUUAUAUUUUAUAGGGGUUCGGCUGGAAAGGCUAACUGAAAUAAGGUCACACCAAUCACAAAAUACUAGGUGUCGUAUUCAUCAUGUGGCUCUUUCAUAGUUAGUUUUUAUCCAUGGACAUGAAUUGAAUUGGAUUUCUGGUGAAGCUUUCUCCAUCCGAACCUAAUUAAAAUGUAUUUAAGCGGAUAAAACUCCUAGGAAAUGAUAUAUAUACUUCCAUGUCUAACUGGAAUUCAAAUGACUAGUGGAUACUGCACGACUGGAGCGAUGAAGAAUGCGUGAAGAUACUAAAGCGAUGCAGGGAAGCGAUUCCGAGCAAGGAAAACGGAGGAAAGGUGAUUAUCAUAGACAUGAUCAUGAUGAAGAAUCAAGGAGACUACAAGUCCGUAGAAACACAGCUGUACUUUGAUAUGGUGAUGAUGAUUUUGGUCACGGGUAGAGAGAGGGAUGAGAACGAAUGGGAGAAGCUUUUCUUGGAUGCUGGUUUCAGUCACUACAAGAUAACUCCCAUUUUGGGUUUGAGGUCCCUCAUUGAGGUUUAUCCUUGAUGCUCUAUUUGUUUGUAGUAUGGCACAUUUAUGCGUAGUUAAUUCACAAAGUCUGCUAUAAUUAAGAUGGUUCUUGUUCUGUUUGAUUGGGCAGAAGUACUGUUCAUCUUUCUUCAUAUAAUCUGUGUUUGUUUUGGAGUAAUGAAUUAUUGUUUUCUGUAAUACUAAAUUCUAUAAGUUUAAAAUUUUAGAAAAAUUGGUUGUUUAAUAUGGUAUUAUAUCCUCUUUGAGAGAUCCUUUAUGUUUUUUCCUCAAUUUAUCAAAGAAAAAAAAAAGGAAAAAAAUUUACCUUUCCACUUUAUUAAACCCAUGUGUAAGUUCAAAGAAAGUUGACUCAUGAAAUGAUAGUAGAUUGAAAUACUUAAGGUUAUGUUUAGUUCUCUAAAAAUGUGAGGAAAAAUAUAAUGAAAAUAAAAUAGAAAGAAAAAGUGGAAGGAAAAAAAAUAAAAAUAGAUUUAAAAAUUUUAAAUUAUUUUAUAUGUUAUUUUAAAUUUAUUUAAUUUAUUUUUCUACUUCUGAAUAAAGAUUAAAUAAUUUAAAAAUAUGUAAAAUUUUAAUUAAUUUUAAUUAUAUUUAUUUAUUUUUUCUAUAUGGAGACCAAAUAUGAAAAAAAUUAAAAUUAUUUUUCUUAAUAUUUUUUUUGGUCUCCAUACUUUUUGUAUGUUUAAGUCAAUUUUUUUUUUAGUGAUAUAAAAAAGAUUUGUUAAACAUUAUUAAGAGAGAGAAAAGGUUAUCUCACCAAAAUAAACUCUGUGGUGAGAUAAUAGUGUUAUCUCACCAAAACAUUAUUAAGCAAAAGAAUUAUCAUUAAUAGGAAGAAUAUCGAUUCAUAAAAUAAACUCUAAAUAAAUAUCAAGAAAGGUUAUCUCACCAAAAUAAAAAGUAGGUAACAUCUUUAACAUGUCUAGAUUAACAUCCAAUAGGCCAAAUUAAUCAAUUAUAUUCCGAUUAAUAUCAAAUUUAUUCACAAGUGGGUUACUUUACUAAAAAAUCAGCAAAUGAUUAAAACAGAAAACUCUACAAAAUAAAUCUAAAAAUCUAGAAGUUAAGUUUUAUCAUGAAAUUUUCAGAGAACAUCUCCUAUAUGUCUAGUUUAUCAUCUAAGUGACCAAAUCAAUUAACUAGCCCUCAUUUAGUACUAGAUUUCAUAAUGAUGAUAAUAAGUCCAGAACAUGGCAUAUUUUUAAGGUAUUCAACAAUUGAUUUUUCUAAUUAACUUAAAGAUGUACUAAAAUCAUAAAAAAAAUUCAUACACUAGCUUAAUAUUUUAUUUUAUAUGAAAGAUAAUUACAGGAAAAUGUCACAUUCAUAACAUAUUUAAAAAUAAAUAAACAUCUCUUAGCUCCAAAAGAGCACUUGUGCAGCGGAUGUAAGAAGAAAAAAAAAUAUCUCUCAUUUUAGAAAUCAUUUAUUAAUAUUUUAUGUAUCACAAAUUAAAUUUAAGAAGCAUAUAUAUAUAUUAAGAGAAAAAUAUUCAAAGAAGUUAAAGUGAUCGUUUAUUAAUUUAAUUUUGCAAAACAAAACUGAGUGUAAAAAACAGAGUGAAAACUGAACCUUCUAAAAUAUUGAUUUAUAUCUUCUAAUUGAAAAAUCAUAUUUGAUCCAAGUAAGAUUCUAAAAUCAAGUUCAAGGAGUCUAGAAUGUCAUAGAAUAGUUAGAAAAAAUUUAAAGAUUGUCUAUUGUCAUAUUCAAAUUUAUGAAUGCAGAAGUACAGUGAACUAUCCACAAUUUCAAUGAAAAACUAUGUUUUGAAAAAAAACUUUGCAUGUAGGGAUCUACUAAGUCCCAUUUUAAUUUCCACGAAUUUAUUCAUAAAGACUCCAUUGAUUGGAGUUAUGAAAUUUAAUUCAUGUAUAUUCAAAACCAAAAUUCAUUUUAAAACCUUUUUUCAAAUAUUUGGUUGCAUGAAUUUUGGAAAAUUGACCUUUCUUUACCUAAUUGAUCUAAGAUUAAUUUUAAAAUGAAGUUAGAAGAUUAAUUUGGCUAUAUAGGAAAAGUUGAAAACAAUUUUAAAAAAUAUUAAAACACAUAGAAUCUCAAACACAAACUAUUAAGAAAAAGUGUAAGUGUGUAUAUGUAAAUUAUCUAGUGUGCCAAGGUGAAACUCAAGUGUCCUAAAUAUUAACCUAAGGUCCAGCUACAUUUAAAACUAAUUAUGUCUUAAUUUGGGUCUUAAAUUAUGAUACAAAAGUGUCCUAAGUGUGUCUAAUCAAGCCUAAACAAGUAAUCAUUAAUUGGUGUCAAACGUAUGUGAAUUGUGAUAGGUAAGCCGAAAACUUGCAUUAGUCAAAAAUGAAAAAUCAAGGAGGCAUGAAACCCAAUUAAUGCAUUUAUUCAAAGCCCAUUGUCAUGUAGUUUUCCAAUGGCUUAUUCAAAUAAAAGAGUUUGAAGAAAAGUUAACUCAAUCUCAAUUAUAAUUUAUCAAACAAUCAACAUUCAAUCAAACAAAUUUCUAAAUGUCAAAUCUAACAACACUCAUGUGUGGCCCGAUUUAUCCACACCCAACCUAUUCUAAUGUAUUCAAAAGAAACAAAUAAAGAAGAAGAUAUGGACAAAUUAAAUCAGAAUUAGGACAAUUAGAUAAUUCAUCUCAAGGUGUCCAAAAUUCAAUUAAUGCCUUGAUGUUCUCCAAGUUGUGUUUGACUUAUCUCUGCUAUGCAACUAGUAAAGUCUUCAUUUCUAUUGAAUUUCUAGCCAUCGAAAUCCCCUAUAUGUAGCCACUUAAACUUCGGCCACUAAUCAUACAUUAUAGCAUUAAUUCAUCGCAUGCAUUGUGGUCACUUUAAGCCAUUAAAUUUUCCAUGAUUCAGCUGCGCAAAGCUCCAUUAACGGCUGCAUAUUCAGCCAUUAAAAUCAGCCUUAAAUCUCCAUGUCCAACCUUAAAUUUUAGCCAAUUACAUAGCAAACCUCUACUUGAAUUUCAACCGUGAUUUUCAUUAAAAAUUCAGCAAAUAAUCAUUUGAAUUUCGGUCAUGAUCUUCAUUAAAAUUUCAGUAACUAUCCACUUGAAUUUCCAUAAUAUCCAACCACCAUAUUCAACAAAUGUAGCCAUUAAAAUCGAUCAUGCAGUAUAUCCACAUCCAAACCAUAGAAACAAUACCCAAAAAUGGCGAAAGAAAAUGAAGAACUACAUGAUAAUGAAGAAUAAUAGUGAAUCCAUUGCAAUCAUACUUGAGUGUGCUCUCCCCCUAAUGGAUUUUAAAUUUUGACCCCAUGGCUUCCACGUACAAAGAAAGAAAAACACAAACAAAAAAUAGACUAUAACCCAAGAGGGGCCAAGCAAGCAAACAAACUACUAAAUGAGGUCCCUCUUUAUGUUUUAAUCAAAUGGCCAGAAACAGGUAAAAGAAACAAUGGACAAAAGUGUGAUUCUUGUGCAUCAAGUUCAUGAUAAACAUUUUUGAUCUCCAUUAUCACCAACAAUACAAACAGAAAAUAUAUGUGUACCAAGCAUUCAAAUUAUGCCUUCCACUGUUGUCUAAGAACAUACCCGAGUCCAUUAUUUUCCGACGAUGAAUACAGUAUGGAUCUUCUAAGGUUGUGGAGGGCACCACCUUCUUUCUAAAUUCUCUCAGAUGAUGGGAGUCAAAGAGAGACAGGUUUGUUCUUAUUCCAAAACUAAUGUUAUCUAUUAAUGAACAGACAUACGAUAUGGAUUUAUACCCUCCUGCCUUAGGGACCAUACCCUUUGCCUAUUGGGCCUUACGAGUCUUAGAUCUAUCAUCUAAGGCCCGUGAAGGCUUUGGGUUCUACACAUAGGUGGCCCAUACUGUGAAAAACCGAUAUAAAAUAAAUAUCAAAGGCGAAUAGCUUAGUCAUGUACCAUUGCUAAAUAUGUGUGAGUCUAUAUCUUAACAAUCUCCCACUUAGACCACAUAUAUUACAAAACAAUGUUCAUGAUAGGACUUUAUUGAGCUCAUCUUACUAUUCUAUCUUAAUAUCUUUAAACAAUCCGGUCUACCAGUAUUGCUAAUGUAGGAUUAAAGCGGUCUUCGUUAAUCAUAAUUAUAACUAGACCCAUCAAUGAUCACAAUAUUAACAAAAUUAGCAACAUGGAUCAAGUAUGGAUGUGUAGCAUGGAAAUUACAUAGAAUGUGAUCUCUAAUAUGUCUAUUUCCAAUUGGUCCCACUUUAUGACUAAAAAAUAGUCAAAUUCCACUUUCAACACUUGAUGCUAAACUACUUCUAAAAGUCAUCAUUUCAAUUCAGAGUAUUCAAACACAAUAGUCUUUUAAAAUCAAGGUCUGUAUAGAUAACACAACAUGAUAUCACAUCAAGAAAACAAACACAAAAUCUAAAUACAAACUCCUACUAUACUGACACAUCAUCAAUGUGUACAACACCCAUAUAUGUGACAUGCUCAUGAUAUACUUUGGGUGGAAAACCCUUAGUGAGCGGAUCCCCAAUCAUGGAGUUUGUGCUUAUGUGUUCAAUCGAUACUUGAAGACUCUGAACUAUUUCUUUCACAACCAAGAACUUGAUGUCAAUGUGUUUGGACUUUGACGAACUUCGAUUGUUCUUAGAAUACAAUUUGUGGCCUUAUUAUCACAAUUGAUUCUCAAUGGUUUCUCAAUCCCAUCAAUAAUUCGCAAUUGAGUGAUAAAAUUCUGCAGCCAUAUCCCAUGGUUUGAUGCCUCAUAGCAAGCUAUGAAUUCUGCCUCCAUGGUGGAAGAGGCAAUAAGUGUUUGUUUAACACUUUUCCAUGAAACUGUUCCUCCAGCCAACAUGAAGAUGUAGCCUGAAGUGGAUCUCCUACUGUUAAGACAUCCCGUGAAAUCAGAGUUCGAAUAUCCCACGAUUUCCAAAUGACUGGAUCUGCUGUAUGUGAGCAUAUAGUCUUUAGUUCUUUGUAAAUACCGCAUAACCUGUUUUGCCUUUUUCUAGUGAUCCAUACUUGGGUUACUCAAAUAUCUGCCUAACAUUCCAACAAUGUACGCAAUAUUCGUACGCGUACAAACUUGUGCAUACAUGAGACUUCCUAUGGUCGAGGCAUAGGGAAACCUCUCCAUAUCCUUCUUCUCAAGUUCAUUUUUCGGACAUUGGUGCAAACUAAAUUUAUCGCCUUCUGCUAUAAGCGUGUCUCCUGGUGCACAAUUGCUCAUGCCAAAUCUAUUCAACACUUUAUCAAUGUAAGCCUUUUGUGAUAACCCAAGUAUACCUCUUGGACGAUCCCUAUAGAUCUGUAUACCCAACACAGAAGAUGCAUCACCAAGAUCUUUCAUAUCAAAUUUACUAGAUAGAAAUCAUUUGGUUUCAUGUAAAAGUCCCACAUCACUACUUGCAAGUAAAAUAUCAUCAACAUAUAGCACCAAGAUAAUGAAUUUGCUCCCACUGAACUUGAGGUUUAUGCAUUGAUCAACGGUGUUCUCCUUAAAACCAAAUGAAAUAAUCACCUGAUCAAACUUUCAGUACCAUUGUCGGGAUGCUUGCUUUAAACCAUAUAUGGACCUUUUUAAUCUGCAUACAAGUUGCUUUGAAUCAUUAGACUCAAAGUUCUCCUGUUGCACCAUGUAUAUUGUUUCAUCAAUGUUACCAUUAAGAAACACAGUUUUAACGUCCAUUUGAUGUAGCUCUAAAUCAUAAUGAGCUACAAGUGCCAUGAUGAUUCUAAAGGAGUCCUUUGACGAAAUUGGUGAAAAGGUCUCCUUAUAAUCAAUGUCUUCCUUUUGAGUGUUAUAACUGAUUUUGAAUGGACUAAAUUGUGUAGGCAGAAAGAUCAAGACCAAGUGCAUGAGUAUGUCUUUCGACAACUCUAACUUUAGUGCCUUGAGUCUAGUCACAAGAUUAGACAUUUCUAUAAUGUAUUCCCUUAUAUUCUCUUUCCCUUUAUACCACAUAGAGACAAGCUUACUAAGAAUAGUGCUUGUCUUAACCUUUUCGUUUGCAGCGAAUCGGUUUGCUAUCUGGUCCAAGAAUGCCUGGCUUGGGUUUCCUCAGGUAUUGCACCCUUUAUAGCUUCUGGAAUUGAGUGCUUCAUAAUCAUUAGACUCAUGCGAUUAGAUCGCUCCCAUUUUUCCAUAGUAGACCUUUGCUCAGUAGUGCUAGCACUAGUAAGAUCUGAAGGGUGAUCCACUCUUAAUGCAUAGUCUGAAUCCAUGCACCCGAGCACAAUUAUAACUUGCUCCUUCCAUUUCUUGAAGUUUAUGCCAUUAAGCAUAGGAAUGUUAUUGACAUUUGCAGAUAUAGAAGAUGCUGAAAUAAUAAUGAAGCUCACAAUCAGUCAUAUAAACAUCACACAUACAGGAAUAAAUAAAAUUUAAACAUAUAUAUGCAUGUGGACAUACAACAAGAUACCUAGCACAAACAUCAAUAUUCAGUCUUUAGACGAAAAUAUCAACUUGUAAUUGACAUCAUUUUACAAAUUAAUUCAUAAAUAUUGACAAUAAAAAAACCGAAAAUAAUAUGUUUGUCUUUGGACUAAUAUAUCGAAUGCAAGAUAAACCUUAUAUGUCACAUAUUCAUAAUUACUUUAUUUAUUAUUAUAUAAAAAAUAAUCCUCCUUUGGGUUGAUUAUUUUAUACAAUAAUAACAUGCUUACACAUUUCAAAAUAAAUAAAAUUAUGUAAUACAAGUUACUUUGGCAACAAAUAUACACAAUUCAUUUAUUUUAAAAUAUUAAACAUAAAUACAACAAGCAGUAAUUCAAUAAAAAAAAAAUUAUGCACAAACCCAUGUAUAUACGCAAUCCUAGAUAACAAUUCAUAACCAUUCAUAAGGCUUUAUUCAUGAAUGCAUGAUUUAGUGGCCCAUUUUUUUUUUUUUUUUUUUGCAUGAUUCAUAAGACAUUAAAAGGUACCUAAUUACUUUACAUGUAGCAUAUAAUAUAAAAUUCCCACAGCACAAAUAGGAGUAUAGGCAUUUAAUCCUCUAAUUAAUCCAUAUUUUAUUAUGGCAUAAUUUUAAAAACUUAGAAAUUUUAGACGUUGUAAAAGGGAUCCUUUUUGCAUCCAACCGACAGUGGGGCUAGAGUGAUCUUCGAACGACGCCAACGGUGAAAUGACACCAUAAUAGUGGGAAUUAGUGGCACCAACACGGCGUCGGAAUGGAUGCCUACAACGCCCAAAAUCGGCGCUUCUCAUUGGCAUCUGAAAUGCCUGAAGAACAGCGCCUGCACGCCAUCUAGAUCACCUUUAAACGGCGCCUAAAAUGGCGCUGCUCCAUUCGGUGUCAGCGGCGCAAGGCAGACGAGGCUUGCAACGCCUUCAAUCGCGCCUGAACGACGUAUGAACGCUGCUUGAAAAUGGCGCUUCAGCAGUGCCUCCAAAAUGGUGCUUCAAUGGUGUCUGAACGACGCCUCCAAUGGUACUUCAUAUGGCGCCUGAACGAUGCUACAAAUGGCGCCUCCAAUGGUGCCUCGAACGACGCCUGAAAAUGGCAUUUCCAAAGGCGCCUGAACGGCGUCAGAAUGGUGGGUGAGGCGAACCUUAAAUGGCGUCUGAACAGCGCCUGGUAUGGCGCCUAAAGACGGCGCCUGAAGCACUUGUAAUGGACGCCUGAAUGGCUCCUGUAACGCCUGUAACGUACGCUUGGAUGACGCUUGAAGUGCGUCUUGAAUGGCACUUGAAUGGUGCCUCAAAUGGUGCCUUUUGAAUGCCUGAAAACACCGUCGAAAUGAUGCCAAAACUACUUCCAUUUUGAACGACUGAAUGGCGUCCUAACGGUGCCUGAAAUUGCCCCAAUUUUUUUUUGUUGUUUCUGAUUUAAUACGAGUUUUUGGUGAAAAAUGGGGGGCUCUGAUACCAAUUGAUAAACAUUUUUUAUCUCCAUUAUCACCAACAAUAAAAACAGAAAAUAUAUCUAUACCAAGCGUUCAAAUUAUGCCUUCCACUAUUGUCUAAGACCAUACCUGAGUCCAUUAUUUUCCGGCAAUGAAUACAGUAUGGAUCUUCUAAGGCUGUGGAGGGCACCACCUUCUUUUUGAAUUCCCUCAGACGAUGGGAGCGAAAGAGAGACAGGUCUGUUCUUAUUCCAAAACUGAUGUCAUCUAUUAAUGAAUAGACACACGAUAUGGAUUUAUACCCUCCUGCCUUAGGGACCAUACCCUUUGGUUAUUGGGCCUCAUGAGUCUUAGGCCCAUCAUCUAAGGCCCGUGAAGGUUUGAGCUUUACACAUAAGGUGGCUCAUACUGUGGAAAACUGAUAUAAAAUAAAAUCAAAGACGAAUAGCUUAGUCAUGUACCUUUGUUAAAUAUGUGUGAGUCCAUAUCUUAACCGUUCAAACAUAUCAAAAUAAGAAAAAGGAAAACCAAAAACUGAGCAAACAUGCAAACAACUAGUUUUAGCAAAACCUUCCUAUGACUCUUAAUGUCCACACCAAACAUCAAAUGACAUCUGAUUGACAGAAAAGAAGAAGAAGGAAUGCAUGAUAAUUGAAAUGAACCGAAAAACUACGACAACCAUACCUAUAACAACUUCUCUAAACUAUGUUGACCAAGCUUCAAGCAAGUUGCAUCCCCUCCUAUAGCUGAUAAAAACACCAACCAUUCUUUUCUCUCAUUCAAAUGUCAUCUCCCUUAUUUUCCUUUCUAUUUUCCUUUUGUUUUUGGUAUCUCUCUCUCUCCCUCUCUCUCUCUUCCCGAGCUCUCUUUGAAUUUUUUCCUCUGUGUCUCUUUGUCCCUAUCUCUAUUUUUCCUCUAAAAAUCACAACCUUGUUUUUUUUCCUCAUCAGAAUCCUUCAUCUUGAAGGCUUCUCUCUAUUUCUUCGAAAAUCACAACUUGCUCUUUCCUCAUGCACUCCAUUUCCCACCAAAACUCUUUUCAUCUUCUCUUUCUUCGAUGAUAACUUUUCUUACCUUUAAAAAGUCUAGUGGAUCAUGCCUUCCAUUGAGAUGGCAACCCGUUUUCCUCAUGCAAAACAAAAAAAAUAAUAAAAAGUUAGCAACCAUUCAUUAAUAAAAUGAAGAAAUAAAAUUUGAGAAACUUAAAAGAAAGUAGGAUCUUAUAAUUAAAAAUUAAAAUUAUGUAAUUAAAACCAAAAUAUCAAUCAUAUGCACAUUAGAAAAAAAUAAGAUAUUAUUUCAUGCAACUUAAAAAGAAUUAAUUUCGUCAAACUCAUGCAAUUUUGUGAAAAUAAAUAAAUGAAUGGACUAACAAUAAAUAAAUAAAUAUCACGUAUGCAAUCAAAUCUAAAAAUUAAUAUAAUGCAACAAAAAAUAAUGCAAAACAGACUAUUGAACUUACACCACUAAAAAAAAAAAUGAAAAAACCAUCUCAAGUAAUCAAGAACCAAAAUCAAGUCCCAAGAUCGCCUAACCCUAAAAUCGGACAAUUAAACUUAAGAAAACAACCUAAGUGAACUAGGCUUACUAAAAUAUCUAAGUGGAACCUAUCCCAAAAAGAUCUAAGCGAGACCUAAAUUGAGCUCGAAAGAGAGCCAAGGUCACAAUAAGGGUCCCUGAAGGUGGCUUAGAAAAAGAAGUUGUAUGAGCGUUGAUGGGCCACCAAUAACUACCGUGGAGUUUUGAAAGAGCACUUAAUAGUGCAAGUACUAAGAGGACAAAAUGGAUGGUUUACAAAUCCCUCCUAUGCAAAGUUGCCAAAAUAGGAUUUAGGGUUUUGGGAAAUUUGCAAAGGAAACCAACGGAAAGUGAUUCAUUCUGGUACUACAAUCCAUGUUUCCAAUACCAUGCAAGGCUUCUUAAUAGGAUUGGAAGCACAAGCAUUGUGGUGUUGUCCUUGCCUCUUGAACUGGAGGCCGGUUUCUCAUUCCUCCUUCCCACGAAUCCUACAUAGGAAGGUCCGUAUCUCAGUUUUAACGACAGUAAGAUGGCAGUCUUUGACUGUCUCUGGCCCUUCACUAGACAAACACGUGUAUGAUGUUUUUAAAGAAGACACAUUUUGCCAAUUUUGGUGAAACUCAAGAAAAAAAUUUGAAGUUAAAAUUUAUGCAUGGUUGUUGCAACCUAAUCUUGCACGAGUUAAAAUUGUUAAUUAUUAUCCCAGUGAAGUCAAGAUAGAUAUGUGAGUAUCAUUGUACCAUUCUUAGCUUUUUAAAUCAACUCAUGUUUCACAAACAACUUUUAUUUGUUUCAAAUGAAAGAAGUCAACAUUUGUAAUUACUAUUUCAACAAACAACUUUAAUUAGAUUGAUUUCGAAUUGCAAUAGUGACGUAUUAAUGAUAACAUAAUUGAUAAUUUUAACUUAAUAUACAAAUUUGAUUGAAAAUAAAUUCGAUAAUUCUUGGAAGCUUAUUCACUCGAUUACUAAAUCAAUAGCCCAAGGAACAUAUUUAAGUAUAUUAAAAAGUCUGUUUAAUAGUGAUUUUAGGAAGCGUUUAUAAUAUUUUUAAUAUUUGAAAUUUUAUAUCAUUUAAGUAUUAAAAAUGAUAGAAAUGUUUCCUAGAAUUAUUGUCAAACACAUUCUAAAUCAAUUGCUAGAUUAAUAUGAAAGGGUAAUUUUUUUUUUUUGCAAAAUUUAAUUUCUUAAUUAUAUGAUCAUCAAAUAAAUAAAAGAUAAAAUGUUAUUAUAAAAAAAAUGAAAGCAAAAAUUUGAAAGAAUAUAUUGAUUAAACUUAAAAAAAAUACACAAAAUAAAAAAAUAAAUAAAUGAUUAUAAUAUAAAAGAUCAAGUAAAAAACAAAUAAAAAUACACAAAAUAUUUUUAUUCAAUUACAUAUUAUACCAAAUUUGCAGGACUAAAAUUUAUAAUAUUUUUCAAUGUUUUCUAAAUCAGAAAAGUUAUAUGUUUAUAAUUCACUAGUCGAAUGAAUGAUCAAACCAUGGGUGAUGUCAUAAUAUGUAUUUUAUAUUUAUUAAAAUUAAAAAUAUUUAUAAGAAAUUAAAAAUCAAUAAUAUUUAAUUUUCUUUUCAUCUUUAGUAUUAUCAAGUUAAUAUAUAUAAAUAUAUUAAUAUUUUAAAAUUUUGUUAAAUAAAAAAUAUAUAAUGUGUUGAAAGUUAUUUAAUUUACCUAACUAUAUAUAUUAAAAGUUAUUUAUGGCAGUAAAAAAUAUUAUAUUAUUUUAUUUAUAUUAUUUAAAAUUUUAUUAUUAUAAAAAUUUUGAAAAUGUUAUUGCUAUAUAAUUUGUUGUUGGGUGAACAUAGGCAAAAAAAAGCUGGAGUAGCAGUGUGGUGUUGUCCUUGCCUCUUGAACUGGAGGUCGGUUUCUGAUUCCUCCCACCCACGAAUCCCCCGUGUAAAGGAAAUAAAAUAGCUUUAUAAACAACGGGUCCAAAUCGGCAGCCUGGUCAGUUCAAGGACAGUACGAUGGCACUCUCGUGCUGCAUCUGCCGAGAAAGUAUUUUUGAAGAAAAAAAUGAUCAAAGCAGCUCUUCUCUUAAGAUAUUUACCAAACUAGUUUUCACUCUCACAUGAUUGGUAUGGGUUUAUGCACUUAAAAGAAAAAAAAAAAAAGUUGAAUUAAUGUUGUACGGAUAGACUAUUUUGACAAAUAUUUUCAACGUGAGAUUAGAUUGAUAAUUUUUUUUUUUUUUUUUUUCCAAAAAAACUACUUUUACCGGAAACCCGCAUCUGCCCACAAAAGUACACCACAGUUGUCUGAGAACUCUCUCUGCCCGUUCAUGUUUAUAAUAUUAGGACCCACUCUUAUACACAUAACUUGUAGCAUUCUUGUUCAUUCUGGCUUCCUUGCUGCGCAAAGAGUCCAACAAGGUGAGGAAGAAGAGGGGUAUGUGCUUACAGAUGCCUCUAGGCUCCUUCUAAUGAAUGACUCCUUGAGCAUAAGGCCCUUGUUGCUUGCCACGCUCGACCCAAUUUUAACUAAACCAUGGCAUUAUGUGAGUGCUUGGUUUCAAAAUGAUGAUCCCACUCCAUUCCAAACUGCUCAUGAGCGGCCAUUUUGGGAUUAUGCUGCC